RNAcentral lists this ribosomal RNA (501 nucleotides) under uncultured bacterium. Its description in RNAcentral is "partial 16S ribosomal RNA". It matches the Rfam family "Bacterial small subunit ribosomal RNA", at positions 30 to 523 of the family's 1533-position model. The record is from RNAcentral.
AUUGAACGCUGGCGGCAUGCCUUACACAUGCAAGUCGAACGGCAGCACGGGUGCUUGCACCUGGUGGCGAGUGGCGAACGGGUGAGUAAUACAUCGGAACGUACCUUAUCGUGGGGGAUAACGCGGCGAAAGCUGUGCUAAUACCGCAUACGCCCUGAGGGGGAAAGCGGGGGAUCGCAAGACCUCGCGCGAUUAGAGCGGCCGAUGCCUGAUUAGCUUGUUGGUGGGGUAAAAGCCCACCAAGGCGACGAUCAGUAGCUGGUCUGAGAGGACGAUCAGCCACACUGGGACUGAGACACGGCCCAGACUCCUACGGGAGGCAGCAGUGGGGAAUUUUGGACAAUGGGGGCAACCCUGAUCCAGCAAUGCCGCGUGAGUGAAGAAGGCCUUCGGGUUGUAAAGCUCUUUUGUCAGGGAAGAAACACCGGCUCUAACACAGUCCGGGAAUGACGGUACCUGAAGAAUAAGCACCGGCUAACUACGUGCCAGCAGCCGCUGUAA